Molecule: ribosomal RNA, 497 nt
Filed under: uncultured bacterium
Lineage: Bacteria
Description: partial 16S ribosomal RNA
Rfam family: Bacterial small subunit ribosomal RNA
Source: RNAcentral
GAUGAACGCUGGCGGCGUGCCUAAUACAUGCAAGUCGAGCGAACGGACGAGAAGCUUGCUUCUCUGAUGUUAGCGGCGGACGGGUGAGUAACACGUGGAUAACCUACCUAUACGACUGGGAUACCUUCGGGAAACCGGAGCUAAUACCGGAUGAUAUUUUGAACCGCAUGGUUCAAACGUCAAAGACGGUCUUGCUGUCACUUAUAGAUCGAUCCGCGCUGCAUUAGCUAGUUGGUAAGGUAACGGCUUACCAAGGCAACGAUGCAUAGCCGACCUGAGAGGGUGAUCCGUGACUCUGGAACUGAGACACCGUCCAGAACACUAGCGGGGGCAGCAGUAGGGAUUCUUCCUCAAUGGGCGAAAGCGUGACGGAUCAACGCCGCGUGAGUGAUGAAGGUCUUCGGACCGUAAAACUCUGUUAUUAGGGUAGACCAUAUGUGUAAGUAACAGUGCACAUCUUGACGGUACCUAAUCAGAAAGGUACGGCUAUUUACGUG